GCGACACUAGCUCAGUUGGUAGAGCGCAACCUUGCCAAGGUUGAGGUCACGCUUAUGUUCAAGGGAAAGCGAACCUCGUGUGUCGCUCCA
This 90-nucleotide transfer RNA is filed under the name Vibrio breoganii. RNAcentral's name for it is "tRNA-Gly". It matches the Rfam family "tRNA". Rfam says of the family: Transfer RNA (tRNA) molecules are approximately 80 nucleotides in length. Their secondary structure includes four short double-helical elements and three loops (D, anti-codon, and T loops). The record is from RNAcentral. Lineage: Bacteria; Pseudomonadati; Pseudomonadota; Gammaproteobacteria; Vibrionales; Vibrionaceae.